GGAUGCGUGGCGAAAUGGUAUCGCGCUUGACUACGAAUCAAGCGAUUGCGGGUUCGAAUCCCGUCGCGUCCU
This is a transfer RNA of 72 nucleotides. It matches the Rfam family "tRNA". Rfam says of the family: Transfer RNA (tRNA) molecules are approximately 80 nucleotides in length. Their secondary structure includes four short double-helical elements and three loops (D, anti-codon, and T loops). The record is from Rfam.